AAAGCACUAGCAUCUUUCUACACAGGAAAAGGAACUGUCUGCACUGUUAAGAGCCCCAUCUCUUUGCUGGGCUCAGCAAAUCUUGUGAGGCAGAGAGAAAAUGCCUAUGAGAUACCAUAAAUAUGGGAGGUGACUGACCAGCCAGAGAACUGCUGACCAGACUGGUGCAGAGGACAGGACCACAAAAGACAUGGUCGAGAGCAGCCUGGGAUUGAACAUUGUCAGUGCCAUCGUCUCAGGGAUUGGGAUCUAUUUACUUCUGGGCAGUUUAGGCACUACAUUUAUCUUCUUUCAUCUUUAUGCCACUGAGUCUGAUGUCUAUCCUAUGGCCUUCUCCAUCUUACUUGUCACCCUCACGAUGCCUUUCUCUCCCUAUGUGCCAGAAGUCCCAGCUGCUGCAACCCACAAAGAAGGGUUGGUGAUUCAGGGCUCAGAUGCUGUUGAGGACAAGUCCCCAGGAAGCCAUCUGGAUUUUGGCAUUCGAACCACGAGCUUCCCCAUCGCCAUGGAUGGUACUUUCUUGGAAUAGAUAUUUCUCAACUAAAGACAGGAAACUGAUUACAUUUUUGUGAAAAUCUUUGAUAGAAGUGCAACCCCAGUCAGUUAUAGGCUCUUUCUCACUUCCCUUUCCUGACACGAGAACAGUCCACUAGUUUCUUCAGGGCUUGUCCUGGACAGCAUCAGCAGAACCUUCAGUGGCUCACCCUUGUCCUCAGUUUCCCCUAAGCGUCAGUCACUGUGGCAGGAUGAGGAGGAUCAGGGUCACAGAAGGGCAGAAGGAGGGGGAAGAUGAAUGGAUUUAGAAAGGAAGGGGACUAUUACAUUACAUCGAGUCCACUUACCCUUACUUUGAAGAUAAGGAAACUGAUGCCCAAAGAGGAAAAGUGACUAGCUCAAGGUCACACAAAUUGUAAGUAGCACAGCUGGGAUUGAAUCUUUGAUUCCAAAGAAAUAAUCUUUAUACUAUGGCACAGUCCCUCCCAUGCAGAUGAAGGGGAGAAAAGGGGGCCAUAAGGAAAAUUCUCCAGCCUCGGGAAUUUCUGCUGCCAUUACUGGCAGGAGUGGGUCCAGUGAUUCUCCACCAAAAUCCUGGGAUCCAUAUUCUAUGCCCUUGUAUCUGCUCUACCUCAUCCCUCUCCAGGGCUGACCCCAGGCAGGAAGACAGGUCAAGACACAACGAUCGACUUCCUUUUCUAGGGACCUCUGGGGAU
RNAcentral lists this long non-coding RNA (1211 nucleotides) under Vombatus ursinus (common wombat). RNAcentral's name for it is "lncRNA (ENSVURG00010010159.1)". Lineage: Eukaryota; Metazoa; Chordata; Mammalia; Diprotodontia; Vombatidae. The record is from RNAcentral.